UGGUCUGUAACUGACGNUGAGGCUCGAAAGCGUGGGUAGCAAACAGGAUUAGAUACCCUGGUAGUNCACGCCGUAAACGAUGAGUGCUAAGUGUUGGAGGGUUUCCGCCCUUCAGUGCUGCAGUUAACGCAUUAAGCACUCCGCCUGGGGAGUACGACCGCAAGGUUGAAACUCAAGGGAAUUGACGGGGACCCGCACAAGCGGUGGAGCAUGUGGUUUAAUUCGAGGCAACGCGAAGAACCUUACCAAGUCUUGACAUCCUUUGACCACUCUAGAGAUAGAGCUUUCCCUUCGGGGACAAAGUGACAGGUGGUGCAUGGUUGUCGUCAGCUCGUGUCGUGAGAUGUUGGGUUAANNNNNNNNAACGAGCGCAACCCUUAUUACUAGUUGCCAGCAUUGAGUUGGGCACUCUAGUGAGACUGCCGGUGACAAACCGGAGGAAGGUGGGGAUGACGUCAAAUCAUCAUGCCCCUUAUGACUUGGGCUACACACGUGCUUCAAUGGAUGGUACAACGAGCAGCGAACUCGCGAGGGUAAGCGAAUCUCUUAAAGCCAUUCUCAGUUCGGAUUGUAGGCUGCAACUCGCCUACAUGAAGCCGGAAUCGCUAGUAAUCGCGGAUCAGCACGCCGCGGUGAAUACGUUCCCGGGUCU
Molecule: ribosomal RNA, 652 nt
Filed under: uncultured bacterium
Lineage: Bacteria
Description: bacterial SSU rRNA
Rfam family: Bacterial small subunit ribosomal RNA
Source: RNAcentral